RNAcentral lists this ribosomal RNA (798 nucleotides) under uncultured Bacillota bacterium. RNAcentral's name for it is "bacterial SSU rRNA". It matches the Rfam family "Bacterial small subunit ribosomal RNA", at positions 65 to 879 of the family's 1533-position model. Lineage: Bacteria; Bacillati; Bacillota. The record is from RNAcentral.
GAUUAAAGCUCCCUUCGGGGAGUGCAUAAAGUGGCGCACGGGUGAGUAACACGUAAGUAAUCUACCCUCGGGUGGGGAAUAACAUCGGGAAACCGAUGCUAAUACCGCAUAAUGCAGCGGCACCGCAAGGUGACAGUUGUUAAAGAUUUAUUGCCUGGGGAGGAGCUUGCGGCAGAUUAGCUUGUUGGUAAGGUAACGGCUUACCAAGGCUACGAUCUGUAUCCGGUCUAAGAGGACGGUCGGACACACUGACACUGAAUAACGGGUCAGACUCCUACGGGAGGCAGCAGUCGGGAAUUUUGGGCAAUGGGGGAAACCCUGACCCAGCAACGCCGCGUGAAGGAUGAAGUAUUUCGGUAUGUAAACUUCGAAAGAAUAGGAAGAAUUAAUGACGGUACUAUUUAUAAGGUCCGGCUAACUACGUGCCAGCAGCCGCGGUAAUACGUAGGGACCAAGCGUUGUUCGGAUUUACUGGGCGUAAAGGGCGCGUAGGCGGCGCGGUAAGUCACUUGUGAAAUCUCUGAGCUUAACUCAGAACGGCCAAGUGAUACUGCAGUGCUAGAGUGUGGAAGGGGCAAUCGGAAUUCUUGGUGUAGCGGUGAAAUGCGUAGAUAUCAAGAGGAACACCUGAGGUGAAGACGGGUUGCUGGGCCAACACUGACGCUGAGGCGCGAAAGCCAGGGGAGCAAACGGGAUUAGAUACCCCGGUAGUCCUGGCCCUAAACGAUGAAUACUUGGUGUCUGGAGUUUUAAUGCUCCGGGUGCCGUCGCUAACGUUUUUAGUAUUCCGCCUGGGGA